Molecule: ribosomal RNA, 467 nt
Filed under: Doris pseudoargus
Lineage: Eukaryota; Metazoa; Mollusca; Gastropoda; Nudibranchia; Dorididae
Description: partial 16S ribosomal RNA
Rfam family: Bacterial large subunit ribosomal RNA
Source: RNAcentral
AAACAUAGCCUUAGGAGAUUAAUCUAAGGUUAGACCUGCCCAAUGUUCAAUUUUAUCAAUGGCCGCGGUACUUUGACCGUGCUAAGGUAGCGCAAUCAAUUGGCCUUUAAUUGGGGCCAGGUAUGAAUGGAGUUACGUGGUUCGACUGUCUCCUCAAUUAAUUUAUUGAAAUUACUAUUUAGGUGAAAAAGCCUAAAAAAAGAAAAAGGACGAGAAGACCCUUAGAGUUUAACUUAAGUCAGACAAUUCCUGAACCAGUUUAGUUGGGGCACACUUUGGAACAGAUAAAUUUCCUUAAAGUAACAAACCGAUUUUAAUAAAUGUGAAUAAACUACCUUAGGGAUAACAGCAUAAUUUUAUAAAUAAGUUUGUGACCUCGAUGUUGGACUAGGAAAUUUAGGGGCUAGCCGCCUUUAAAGAAAGUUCUGUUCGAACUAUUAUUCCUACGUGAUCUGAGUUCAGACCGG